This 256-nucleotide long non-coding RNA is filed under the name Elaeis guineensis (African oil palm). Its description in RNAcentral is "long non-coding RNA (EGUI_LNC022950)". The record is from RNAcentral. Lineage: Eukaryota; Viridiplantae; Streptophyta; Magnoliopsida; Arecales; Arecaceae.
CCUACCCAAAUUUGGUGAGAGAAUUCUAUAUGUUAAUCUAAGGAUUGAUUUUGAUAUAAUAAAAUAUUGAGUGCAAAUGGUACAAAAUUGUGUGUUUCAAGAAUGGUCGUAUGCUUUCUUAGGUGCUCAUGAAGAUAUAUCAAGUCAAGAAAGAAAUCUUCUCAAAGAAGCCAAGCCAAAAGAGUUUUCAAGAUAAAUUACGUAAGUUUAAAAGGUGACAUUAUGAAGAAAAAAAAGUGAGAAGUGUACUCACAAA